Molecule: ribosomal RNA, 269 nt
Filed under: uncultured bacterium
Lineage: Bacteria
Description: partial 16S ribosomal RNA
Rfam family: Bacterial small subunit ribosomal RNA
Source: RNAcentral
UACGGAGGGUGCAAGCGUUAAUCGGAAUUACUGGGCGUAAAGCGCGCGUAGGUGGUUUGAUAAGCGAGAUGUGAAGCCCCGGAACUACGUGGAACGGCAUUUCGAACUGUCAGGCUAGAGUAUGGUAGAGGAGUGUGGAAUUUCCUGUGUAGCGGUGAAAUGCGUAGAUAUAGGAAGGAACACCAGUGGCGAAGGCGGCACUCUGGACCAAUACUGACACUGAGGUGCGAAAGCGUGGGGAGCAAACAGGAUUAGAUACCCCGUAGUCC